CCAGCAGCUGCGGUAAUUCCAGCUCCAAUAGCGUAUAUUAAAGUUGUUGCAGUUAAAACGCUCGUAGUCUGAUGUAAUGGGGACUGGUGUGGGGAGCAGCAAUGCUCUUCGCAUCGGUCCUCAUCAACGGGACAGCAAUGUCCCAUUUUACUUUGAGGAAAUUAGAGUGUUCAAAGCAGGCGAUUGCUUGAAUACUGCAGCAUGGAAUAAUGGAAUAGGACUCGCGUCUUAUUUUGUUGGUUUGGAGAUGUGAGUAAUGAUGAAUAGGGACAGUUGGGGGCAUUGGUAUUCAGUAGUCAGAGGUGAAAUUCUUGGAUUUAUUAAAGACUAACUUAUGCGAAAGCAUUUGCCAAGGAUGUUUUCAUUAAUCAAGAACGAAAGU
This 382-nucleotide ribosomal RNA is filed under the name uncultured eukaryote. RNAcentral's name for it is "SSU rRNA". It matches the Rfam family "Eukaryotic small subunit ribosomal RNA", at positions 567 to 990 of the family's 1831-position model. The record is from RNAcentral.